Molecule: ribosomal RNA, 497 nt
Filed under: uncultured bacterium
Lineage: Bacteria
Description: partial 16S ribosomal RNA
Rfam family: Bacterial small subunit ribosomal RNA
Source: RNAcentral
GAUGAACGCUGGCGGCGUGCCUAAUACAUGCAAGUCGAGCGAACGGACGAGAAGCUUGCUUCUCUGAUGUUAGCGGCGGACGGGUGAGUAACACGUGGAUAACCUACCUAUAAGACUGGGAUAACUUCGGGAAACCGGAGCUAAUACCGGAUAAUAUUUUGAACCGCAUGGUUCAAAAGUGAAAGACGGUCUUGCUGUCACUUAUCGAUGGAUCCGCGCUGCAUUAGCUAGUUGGUAAGGUAACGGCUUACCGAGGCAACGAUGCAUAGCCGACCUGAGAGGGUGAUCGGCCACACUGGAACUGAGACACGGUCCAGACUCCUACGGGAGGCAGCAGUAGGGAAUCUUCCGCAAUGGGCGAAAGCCUGACGGAGCAACGCCGCGUGAGUGAUGAAGGUCUUCGGAUCGUAAAACUCUGUUAUUAGGGAAGAACAUAUGUGUAAGUAACUGUGCACAUCUUGACGGUACCUAAUCAGAAAGCCACGGCUAACUACGUG